Molecule: long non-coding RNA, 213 nt
Filed under: Hordeum vulgare
Lineage: Eukaryota; Viridiplantae; Streptophyta; Magnoliopsida; Poales; Poaceae
Description: long non-coding RNA (HVUL_LNC020863)
Source: RNAcentral
UGCUCGGCGAGUAGUACUACUACCAGUAGAGUCGCUCGUGGGUCACAUUGAUAGAUGUAGCUAGGCCUGCUUCUUUGGGGGCAAAGCUAGGGACGUUGGACGUUUGGCCGGCCGCACAAACAUACACGCAUCAUGGCUCACAUGAUGGAAAGCCAAAUAAGUGCCGCUAUAUGUAUAAAGGAGAUUUUUUUUUAAUAUUGUAUAUACUCCUAC